This 405-nucleotide ribosomal RNA is filed under the name Triticum aestivum (bread wheat). RNAcentral describes it as "partial small subunit ribosomal RNA". The record is from RNAcentral. Lineage: Eukaryota; Viridiplantae; Streptophyta; Magnoliopsida; Poales; Poaceae.
AUGGACACCAAAGGAGCGGCGGAGGCAAUGCUGAAGGCGGCGGCGCCCAUGGGGGCGGAGGAGGAGGCCAUGCUCAAGGCGCUGGCGCACAAGCAGGAGGCUGCUCCGGCGCCGGGCCCGGCGGGGCCAUGGACGACGGGGGGCAUCACGGGCGCGGCGUCGGCGGCGGUGGAGCGCUACUGGGCCAGCCUCAAGAGCCAGGCCAGCGCUGCCGGCGAGUACACUACGAGCAAGGCCCUCGCGGCCGGCGAGUACACGACGCUCAGGGCCCGCGCGGCCGGCGAGUACAUGACGAGCAAGGCCCGCGCGGCCGGCGAGUACACGACGCUCAGGACCCGCCAGGGCGUCGCCCUCUUCGGCGAGCCCAACAUCGGCCCCAUCAAGACCAUCGUUGAUCGUUGCUAG